Long non-coding RNA from Eubalaena glacialis (North Atlantic right whale), 1099 nucleotides. RefSeq lists it as uncharacterized. The transcript is spliced from 4 exons. The record is from RefSeq and is a predicted model, not a curated record. Lineage: Eukaryota; Metazoa; Chordata; Mammalia; Artiodactyla; Balaenidae.
ACAGAUUUUGCAUCCAGUUCCCCCCAGAGAAUCUUCCCCACAAUUCAAUCAUAGCUGAAAAUGAAACUAUCCUUGGAAUAAGCACUGUCCUGUCCUCUUUCUAAGGAGACUCCAAACAGGAAAUUGGUUUCACCUGUCAGGAACUUCUGGCACCUUGGUAGAUCUUUAAACUGUCACAUCACAGAAUUAUAGAUUUUAGAACUGGAAGGAACCCUGCAGAUCAAUCACUCAGCUCCUCAAGGCUUCUUUCUUUCAAGAGGACAGGAUAGCCAUCACUGAGGCGUGCGGGACUCCAGGACACAACUGAAAACGGGUCUUCGUGGUUUGAUGGUCCUGUGUCAGAAAAUCAGGGUGAUCUGACUACCUGGGUUUGGAGAUGGGCAUCUUGUUUUCUGGCAGAAUUGAGGAAAGCAAGAUUGCUUUGGGCUCUGUGUAAAUUGUAAACUGGUUCUCAGAACAAACUCCAAGUCACAUCUGUUUAUGAGAAAAGUAUCAGACAAAUUUCAACGGAAGGGCAUCCUACAAAAGACUUCACCAGUAUUCCACAGAACUAUCAAGGAAAGUCUGAGAAAUUGCAGCAACCAAGAGUAGCCUCAGAAGAUAUGACAACUUAAUGUAAUGUAGUAUCCUGGAUGGGAUCAUGGAACAGAAAAAGAUAAGCCUCUCUGCCAAGUGGUUAUAGAUCUUUGAACCAACACUGCUAUUCACUCUGGAGGCUGACAUUUAAAUUCUUCUUGGUGGAAUGAGCAUUUGAAAAUGUUAAAGGGUUUCCUGGGGCUUCCCUGGUGGCACAAUGGUUAAGAAUCUGCCUGCCAAUGCAGGAGACACCGGUUCGAGCCCUGGUCCCAGAAAAUCCCACAUGCCAUGGAGCAACUAGGCCCAUGUGCCACAACUACUGAGCCCGUGUGCCACAACUACUGAAGCCCGUGCGCCUAGAGCCCGUGCUACACAGCAAGAGAAGCCACCGCAAUGAGAAGCCUGCACACCACAAUGAAGAGUAGCCCCUGCUCGCCGCAACUAGAGAAAGCCCGCGCACAGCAACGAAGACCCAGCACAGCCAAAAAUUUUAAAAAUUAAUUAAAAAAAAAAAAAAAAAGGA